CGGCUACCCGACGCCGACGCCGAAGCCGCCGGCCAAGGGGCCCAAGCCGGAGAAGCCCCCGACCAAGGGCCACGGCCACAAGCCGGAGAAGCCGCCCAAGGAGCACAAGCCGACUCCGCCCACCUACACCCCGAGCCCCAAGCCCACGCCGCCGCCGGCUACUCCCAAGCCGACGCCGCCCACCUACACGCCGAGCCCUAAGCCCAAGUCGCCGGUCUACCCUCCCCCGCCGAAAGCCAGUACUCCUCCGACCUACACCCCGAGCCCCAAGCCUCCGGCGACCAAGCCGCCUACCUACCCGACCCCCAAGCCACCAGCUACCAAGCCUCCGACACCUCCUGUGUACACUCCGAGCCCCAAACCACCGGUUACAAAGCCUCCUACACCCAAGCCGACCCCGCCGGUGUACACGCCGAACCCCAAGCCACCGGUUACCAAGCCUCCGACACACACGCCGAGCCCCAAGCCUCCGACAUCCAAGCCGACUCCGCCGGUGUACACACCGAGCCCCAAGCCACCGAAGCCGUCCCCGCCGACGUACACGCCGACCCCGAAGCCACCGGCUACCAAGCCGCCCACCUCAACUCCGACGCACCCUAAGCCGACGCCGCACACGCCUAUCCCCAAGCCCACGCCGCCAACCUACAAGCCGGCACCGAAGCCGACGCCGCCGGCGCCCACCCCGCCGACAUACACGCCGCCGGUGUCGCACACCCCCAGCUCGCCGCCGCCGCCGCCGCCGCCGC
RNAcentral lists this long non-coding RNA (746 nucleotides) under Sorghum bicolor (sorghum). RNAcentral's name for it is "long non-coding RNA (SBIC_LNC011143)". Lineage: Eukaryota; Viridiplantae; Streptophyta; Magnoliopsida; Poales; Poaceae. The record is from RNAcentral.